RNAcentral lists this long non-coding RNA (994 nucleotides) under Ananas comosus (pineapple). Its description in RNAcentral is "long non-coding RNA (ACOM_LNC016283)". The record is from RNAcentral. Lineage: Eukaryota; Viridiplantae; Streptophyta; Magnoliopsida; Poales; Bromeliaceae.
UUAUAUUUAGAUAAUCCAUGAAUAUGUGGUAAACUUCAAAUACUACCUUGUGAUUUCAUACUUUCUCACUUUAGUGUUCUGCGGUUUAAAAUUAUCAAGUUAGUCUCUAUAGUUUCAUAUUUUCUCACUUUAAUAUUCUGUGGUUUAAAGUAUAUCAAGUUAGUGCACUGUGAUUUUAUUUUCUCUUUUUAUUAUCUAUUUCACUAUUUUUUUUUCGUUAAAUCAGUGACAAAGUUAACAUUAAAGGGUACUAUAGUAAAUAUUCGAUAAACCUAGGUAGGGUAUCUAAAGUUUUUUGUAUAUAAUUUAACGAAAUAUUAAAGGAGGAAAAAAAAAUCAGUGAUAAAGUUAAAACUAAAGGGUACUAAAGUAAAUAUUCGAUAAACCUUGGUAGGGUAUCUAAAGUUUUUUUUUUAUAAUUUAACAGAAUAUUAACAAAGGAGCCGACGAAAAGAAAAAAAUGAAACCACAUGGUAAAAAAUUGAUACAACUUUAAACCAUAGGGUACUAAAGUGAGAAAAUGCGAAACCAUAGGGUACUAAAUUGAUACACUUUAAACCAUAGGCUACUAAAGUGAAAAGUGCGAAACCAUAUGGGCGGUAUUUGAAGUUUUUCCAUUAAUAUGCAAGCUGAGUUUGUGAGUGGAAUUAAUUUGUUGAAUCACUAGAAAUUCUUAAAUGAUGUUAAAUAUAAAAAAAAAUUAAAUAUCAUUAUUUAUUAGCUUAAGUUUAGAAAGAAUAAUAAUUAUUUUAUAUUAUUUAAUAUGAUAUCAAAAUAGAAGGUGUUGAGUUCGAGUCAUGUCAGGCUCUUAUUAUUAUUAACUUAAUUAAAGUUUUAAAGAAUAAUAAUUAUUUUAUAUUAUUUAAUAUGAUAUCAAAAUAGAAGGUGUUGAGUUCGAGUCAUGUCAGGCUCUUAUUAUUAUUAACUUAAUUAAAGUUUUAAAGAAUAAUAAUUAUUUUAUAUUAUUUAACAGAUGAAAGGAGAAUAUAAUGUA